Molecule: long non-coding RNA, 1179 nt
Filed under: Monodelphis domestica (gray short-tailed opossum)
Lineage: Eukaryota; Metazoa; Chordata; Mammalia; Didelphimorphia; Didelphidae
Description: lncRNA (ENSMODG00000046346.1)
Source: RNAcentral
AUAUAUAUAUAUAGCUCUUUCAUGUCAACAUGACAGGGGAAGUCCUAUCUGGUGGAGAGACUUCCGAUCGCUUCAACAUCUCCAAUGGCAUGAAACAAGGCUGUGUCCUCGCUCUGGUACUAUUCAACCUAUUUUUCACCCAAGUAUUACGACAUGCUGUGAUGGAUCUAGACCUGGGCAUCUACAUCAAAUACUGACUGGAUGGCUCACUAUUCGACCUUCGCCACCUGACUGCAAAAACAAAGACAACAGAGAGACUCAUCUGGAAGCUCUCUUUGCAGAUGACUGGGCUCUCAUGGCCCACCAAGAAAAUCAUCUCCAAACCAUUGUGGACAGGUUCUCCACCGCAACAAAACUGUUUGGCCUGACUAUCAGCCUCAGCAAAACAGAGGUGCUGUUCCAACCUGCACCAGGGAGGCCAACGAACCAGCCGUGCAUUACAAUCGACAGCACGCAGCUUUCCAACGUCAGCACUUUCAAGUACCUGGGCAGCACCAUCGCCAACGACGGGUCCCUAGACCACGAGAUCAAUGCCAGGAUCCAAAAGGCCAGCCAGGCACUCGGGCGGCUGCGCUGCAAAGUCCUCCAACACAGCGGUGUAAGCACUGCGACGAAGCUCAAAGUGUACAACGCAGGGGUCCUCAGCUCGCUCCUGUACGGUUGUGAGACAUGGACACUGUACCGGAAGCACAUGAAACAGCUGGAGCAAUUCCACCAACGCUCCCUCCGGUCAAUCAUGAGGAUCCAAUGGCAGGACCGAAUCACCAACCAGGAAGUCCUCGACAGAGCCAACUCCACCAGCAUCGAAGUCCUGGUCCUCAAAGCCCAGCUACGAUGGUCUGGACACGUCAUCCGCAUGGACCCACAGCGAAUACCAAGACAGGUAUUCUGUGGUGAACUGUCAGCUGGACUCAGGAAACAAGGCCGACCAAAGAAAAGAUUCAAGGAUCAGCUAAAGUCCAACUUGCAGUGGGCUGGCAUGACACCAAAGCAACUAGAACUCGCUGCCUCUGACAGAAGCAGCUGGCGAACCCACAUCACCACGCCGCCACCACCUUUGAAGAUGAGUGACGUCGACACAUCUUGCCGCUGCACGUGAACGCCGACACCAGGCCACAACCGCACCUCCCGUAACAACUGGCGUCCCAGGCCCCAUGUGCCACAAACUGUGCGCCUCAG